UGUCUCCACUCCAUACAAGAUGCUCUGGAGGAAGGUGGAAAACCCUUUGCAACUGCCAUCUAAACAUCAGGUUUCCCACAGAGGUUUGCCUGCAAGUGUAACAAGUUCUUUCUUUUUACCUGAAUAAUUGGGUGACUGCCCAGAAAGAAAAAGAAUGAACUCUCCAGCUCCUGUCGGAUCUUCCUGAAAAUAGCUCAAACCCAUAUGGCAUUUGCCUCCUGCUGAUACUUCCACACCAGGAAUCCCUUCAGCAAAGCAACUAAGACUCAAAGAGAAAUACAUAAUAUGUUCUUUGCUCCUUAUGCUCGUAUACCUAAGCCCUGUUCUCUAAAUCAGAGGCCCAGAGAAACCUCUGGUGAAGAUCAGGAAAUCCUACCUACAUUUCAACCUGGAAGCCGAAGAAUUUUCUAUUCUGGCAAAAUGAAUUUUAGGAUGGUGCCCCCAGAAAAGAUUUACAAAGCUACCUCUGUGAGAGAUGGCUGCUUCCAGAUCCCAAAGCCUCUGACUGAAUCAGUAACAGCAACUGCUGAAUGUGAGACCUCUCAAUUUAAUUCCGGGAAUCUGUAUCACCCAAGGAAAGACCUAGCACUACAGUCAACAUAACCCCAGGAUCAUGAAGCCCUGUGGAUUGUAAAUAUGCAAUUAGCAGCUGGAGUAGAAGUAAAAGCAGAAAAUGUCAACUGUCAAGCAGCUCCAUUGAAAGACACAUGAUGCUUCAAGCUAAGACAGAAAGACAAAAGCACCU
This is a long non-coding RNA of Manacus vitellinus (golden-collared manakin), 745 nucleotides long. RefSeq lists it as uncharacterized. NCBI's taxonomy places the organism in Eukaryota, Metazoa, Chordata, Aves, Passeriformes, Pipridae. The transcript has 5 exons. The record is from RefSeq and is a predicted model, not a curated record.